Molecule: transfer RNA, 64 nt
Filed under: Oedochloa camporum
Lineage: Eukaryota; Viridiplantae; Streptophyta; Magnoliopsida; Poales; Poaceae
Also listed under: 2 other names
Description: partial tRNA-Ser
Rfam family: tRNA
About the family: Transfer RNA (tRNA) molecules are approximately 80 nucleotides in length. Their secondary structure includes four short double-helical elements and three loops (D, anti-codon, and T loops).
Source: RNAcentral
GGAGAGAUGGCUGAGUGGUUGAUAGCUCCGGUCUUGAAAACCGGUAUAGUUCUAGGAACUACCG